Molecule: transfer RNA, 92 nt
Filed under: Paenibacillus larvae
Lineage: Bacteria; Bacillati; Bacillota; Bacilli; Caryophanales; Paenibacillaceae
Description: tRNA-OTHER
Rfam family: tRNA
About the family: Transfer RNA (tRNA) molecules are approximately 80 nucleotides in length.
Source: RNAcentral
GGAGAGGUGUCCGAGUUGGCCGAAGGAGCACGAUUGGGGAAAUCGUGUAGGCGUCCAGCGUCUCGAGGGUUCGAAUCCCUCUCUCUCCGCCA